UGGAGACAGAGCGGAGGUAGUCCGGGGAGACGAGGUGGUGCAUGGUUGUCGUCAGCUCGUGUCGUGAGAUGUUGGGUUAAGUCCCGCAACGAGCGCAACCCUUAUUGCUAGUUACCAUCAUUGAGUUGGGGACUCUAGCGAGACUGCCAGCGAUAAGCUGGAGGGAAGGUGGGGAUGACGUCAAAUCAUCAUGCCCCUUAUGACCUGGGCUACAAACGUGAUACAAUGGCUGGAACAAAGGGAGGCGAAGGGGUGACCUGGAGCGAAACCCAAAAAUACAGUCUCAGUUCGGAUUGAAGUCUGCAACUCGACUUCAUGAAGUCGGAAUCGCUAGUAAUCGCGGAUCAGCAUGCCGCGGUGAAUACGUUCCCGGGCCUU
RNAcentral lists this ribosomal RNA (378 nucleotides) under uncultured Acholeplasma sp. RNAcentral's name for it is "bacterial SSU rRNA". It matches the Rfam family "Bacterial small subunit ribosomal RNA", at positions 1001 to 1382 of the family's 1533-position model. Lineage: Bacteria; Bacillati; Mycoplasmatota; Mollicutes; Acholeplasmatales; Acholeplasmataceae. The record is from RNAcentral.